Molecule: ribosomal RNA, 662 nt
Filed under: uncultured bacterium
Lineage: Bacteria
Description: bacterial SSU rRNA
Rfam family: Bacterial small subunit ribosomal RNA
Source: RNAcentral
UCGAACGAGAAUUGCAGCUUGCUAAAUUCCAGUGGCGCACGGGUGAGUAACACGUGAGUACCUGCCCCCAGAGUGGGAUAGCCCCGGGAAACUGGGAUUAAUACCGCAUAAACGCAAGACAAUGCGCUUGGGGAUGGGCUCGCGUCCUAUUAGUUAGAUGGUGAGGUAACGGCCCACCAUGGCGACGAUCGGUAGCCGGACUGAGAGGUUGAACGGCCACAUUGGGACUGAGACACGGCCCAGACUCCUACGGGAGGCAGCAGUGGGGAAUAUUGCACAAUGGGGGAAACCCUGAUGCAGCGACGCCGCGUGGAGGAAGAAGGUCUUCGGAUUGUAAACUCCUGUCCCAGGGGACGAUAAUACGGUACCCUGGGAGGAAGCACCGGCUAACUACGUGCCAGCAGCCGCGGUAAAACGUAGGGUGCAAGCGUUGUCCGGAAUUACUGGGUGUAAAGGGAGCGCAGGCGGAUUGGCAAGUUGGGAGUGAAAUCUAUGGGCUCAACCCAUAAAUUGCUUUCAAAACUGUCAGUCUUGAGUGGUGUAGAGGUAGGCGGAAUUCCCGGUGUAGCGGUGGAAUGCGUAGAUAUCGGGAGGAACACCAGUGGCGAAGGCGGCCUACUGGGCACUAACUGACGCUGAGGCUCGAAAGCAUGGGUAGCAAA